Molecule: long non-coding RNA, 322 nt
Filed under: Elaeis guineensis (African oil palm)
Lineage: Eukaryota; Viridiplantae; Streptophyta; Magnoliopsida; Arecales; Arecaceae
Description: long non-coding RNA (EGUI_LNC061758)
Source: RNAcentral
GUGUGGCAUCUUUCUGAACUUCCCCAAUCGUCCGAGCUUCCAUGAUGCCAUCCGGACUUCUCCGAUAAUUAGCUCCUCCAUUCAUAAACCGGACUGCUCUAAAUGCUUUUCGAGCUUCACUAUCAGUUGAUUUUCUACAGUGAUUGACUAUUCUCCGAAUCUCUUCCAGACUUCUUCCGGCCAUGAACGACUUUACUCCAAACUUUUUUCGAACUUCGUCAAUAUCCGAGCUUCUUCAACAGCAAGACUUCGACAGUAAUCAGACUCCAUCCAAGUUUCUACGACGGUCGACCGUCUUCCGAAUUUCAUCCGAGCUCCUACA